GUGCUCCCUUUGGCAGCACAUAUACUAAAAGUGGAAUGAUGCAGACAUUAGCAUGGUCUCUGCACAAGGAUGACAGGCAAACUCGUGAAGUGUUCCAUAUUUAA
Leptonychotes weddellii (Weddell seal) is the source of this 104-nucleotide small nuclear RNA. The record is from RefSeq and is a predicted model, not a curated record. NCBI's taxonomy places the organism in Eukaryota, Metazoa, Chordata, Mammalia, Carnivora, Phocidae.